GCUCCUCCUUUACGCUGAGGUAUUACUUGUGCAAUUCAAGUUUCUCU
RNAcentral lists this transfer RNA (47 nucleotides) under Choridactylus multibarbus (orangebanded stingfish). RNAcentral describes it as "partial tRNA-Val". Lineage: Eukaryota; Metazoa; Chordata; Actinopteri; Perciformes; Synanceiidae. The record is from RNAcentral.